Molecule: ribosomal RNA, 421 nt
Filed under: uncultured bacterium
Lineage: Bacteria
Description: bacterial SSU rRNA
Rfam family: Bacterial small subunit ribosomal RNA
Source: RNAcentral
UGAGGGAGUAUUGGGCAAUGGGGGGAAAGCCCUGACCCACGCGACGCCGCGUGAGGGAAGAAGGCCUUCGGGUUGUAAACUUCUUUUACCAGGGACGAAGGACGUGACGGUACCUGGAGAAAAAGCAACGGCUAACUACGUGCCAGCAGCCGCGGUAAUACGUAGGUUGCAAGCGUUGUCCGGAUUUACUGGGUGUAAAGGGCGUGUAGGCGGAGAAGCAAGUUGGGAGUGAAAUCCAUGGGCUCAACCCAUGAACUGCUCUCAAAACUGUUUCCCUUGAGUAUCGGAGAGGCAAGCGGAAUUCCUAGUGUAGCGGUGAAAUGCGUAGAUAUUAGGAGGAACACCAGUGGCGAAGGCGGCUUGCUGGACGACAACUGACGCUGAGGCGCGAAAGCGUGGGGAGCAAACAGGAUUAGAUACC